Molecule: ribosomal RNA, 253 nt
Filed under: uncultured bacterium
Lineage: Bacteria
Description: partial 16S ribosomal RNA
Rfam family: Bacterial small subunit ribosomal RNA
Source: RNAcentral
UACGUAGGGGGCUAGCGUUGUCCGGAAUCAUUGGGCGUAAAGCGCGUGUAGGCGGCCCGGUAAGUCCGCUGUGAAAGUCCAGGGCUCAACCCUGGGAUGCCGGUGGAUACUGUCGGGCUCGAGUCCGGAAGAGGCGAGUGGAAUUCCUGGUGUAGCGGUGAAAUGCGCAGAUAUCAGGAGGAACACCAAUUGCGAAGGCAGCUCGCUGGGACGUUACUGACGCUGAGACGCGAAAGCGUGGGGAGCAAACAGG